AAAAAGGGAUGGGAAUCGAACCCACGACCUUUCGCUUACCGGGCAGAUGCCAUGACCACUAGGCUACCCUGGACAUAUU
Molecule: transfer RNA, 79 nt
Filed under: Cordylochernes scorpioides
Lineage: Eukaryota; Metazoa; Arthropoda; Arachnida; Pseudoscorpiones; Chernetidae
Description: tRNA-Thr
Source: RNAcentral